CGCUUUCCCAGUGCCCGCGCACCUGGGGGCUGCGCCCGGGGGUGUUGGCCUUCCUCUAGGGCAGGCAGCCUUCCGGCCGCAGAGGACUGGCAAGUAAGUGUGCAGGGUCCUAGGGGUAAAGCUCUCAGGAAAGCCCUCGCAUGUGGGCGCCUAGCAGGGCUUAAGGAGACCCAGCCCCGAACAGGGUGUGUACGGUGAAUCCCCAAGGAGGACUUGGCCUUUCUGUGAUCUUGGCAAGCCCUUACCGAGAGGGCGCUCCAACUGUAAAGUGGGGGUCACAAUGCUACCUACUCCCACAGGGCUGUUUUCAGGAUGAGGUCAGCUCCUGCCUUGUAGUCAGCUGCCAACAACCUUUUGUUUUGAUGAGCCCAGGGCCUGCCACGUGGUAGGUGUUCACUAGAUUGUGUAUACUCUUGAAAGCACCCUCUGAGCUGGGACCAACCAGUGGGAAAGUGAGUUGAAUCAUCCUCGCUCUGCCGCCUGCAGCAGCCUGGCAUCCAGUAGACAAUUAUUUGGAGCACCCUGGAGAGUGAUGGACGGGUUCACACCGUGAACAGGCAGUGGCAGGUGAGGGGGCCUCCGAGGGCUCUUCUCUCUUCCCUCUUGGGACCCAUUGGUCCCAGUUGGCCCCAUGCAGAAAGCAAACAGCUUGAAUCAUACAGGAGGCAAAAAAACAAAAAAGGCAGAGCAGGCCUGAAGUGGGAAGAAACUGUUCAUCUGAUGUUCAGAGCCAGGAGCAGUCAGGUUUAUUCCGGGGCUGUGCAGGGUUUUCACUUGCUUGAGUCUGUAAAGUAGCAGGUAGAGGUGGCUGCCGGGGGCAGGAAGGGGCAGAGAGAGGACACGAUCUGCAGAGAUGGCUACCUGAGGUCCUUUUCAGCUCCAGGAGUCCUGGGGUUUCAUAACCCACAUGAUUCAUCCGAUCAGCAGGUGAGUCACCCUAAUAGAGGUGGGAGAACGGGAGGUGUGGUAGGAGGCCCAACCCAGACAGGCCAAAUCCCUAUUCCCAAGGGCUUCUGCCAGGGGCUCCUCUUGGAACCUAGGGAUCUGUGUCUCAGUGGCCUUCCCUCUUCUGCACCAGCCACACCUUCAGUGGCUUCUCUUCCCUGGCCGAGUGGGGUCAUCUCCCUGGGCAGUUGCUCCAGACCUACCCCAGGCUUCAGAAUACAGGCUCCUUGUGUCAUGGCUGGAUGCUCGCCAGCACCUGCCCUCUGGAAAGGCUUGAGGCCCUGACGCAAACUGGCCAACCCUAGAGGAGAACGUGCCACACCUGUUGGGCACAGACAAUACCCAGAACCCUCACCCUUUCCCUGCCCAGCCACCUGGCCCACAGUGAAGGGACACUGUGCUGAGUUGGGUAGAGUUAGAGACCUUGCCCUGUCUCUUUCCAGCAAUCCAUCUGGGCAAUAUUUGUCCUCUUUCUGCCCCUGGUUGGCCAGCCUGUCACUCAGAUUCAUCCCACAUCCCAUGUUGCACUUAUUUAAUAUGUGGCCCACUCUAAGAUAUAGCCUACUCCACAUAAUCCAUGUGAUGAUGAAGUGGCUCGUGCCUCCCAAGAGGGUACUCCCAUGACAACAGUGAUUUUGACAGGCAGAGAUAAGGGUUUUUCCAUAAUAAUUUGGUAGAUCAAGGGAUUCAGUGUACUGAACUGAGAAGAGACUAAAACACAUCUGAAUUUUUAUUUGGAGAGAUCUGAAUUUAUUUUAUUAAUAAGCUUGGUCCUCUUCCUCUGGGGAUAAACUUUCCACGUGUGGUAGAAGCGCCUGGGCUGUAGCUUGCCUCCAACAUUGUAGGAAGACCAGCUUCCUCAAAUCAGCUUCCUAAAUCUAAUUGCCUCCUGUGAGUUUCCUAUCGAUUUACACUAGGACAGGAUUAACUCAAUCAUGGUACCAGCCCUUUGCAUUGCGAUAGGAUCUGUAAUAAAACUUGGCUCCUCCUCUUGAAGGGAGGGGAUUUAUUACCCACUCUGGCUGCCGCUUACCAGCUGGCCCUGGAGGUCCACACCACUCUGGGGUAGGGGGCCUGCUGCUCCCAUAGACUGAGGUAGGCAGCCUGGGAAGGGACAAAACAUGGACCAGAAAGGUGAUUGGAGCCUGGCUGUAUCUCAGGAGCCAGUAAAUGUAAAUAGAGAUGUGAUAUGCAUGCUAGAAAGUUCCCAAACCAGCAAAGAGGUGGAGGAGUUGCUGGGCAGCUGGCAAACAAUGAUGUGCUCUUCUACCCAGGGCUGCUCCCUUUACAGCAAGUACAGGGCUGCCCAGCUGGGGCCUGGCAAUACCCAUUCAGCCAACGCCACUGGACAGUCAAAGAUUUUGCACAGCCUCUAUCUAGUGUACUUUGAAAUUAAGUUUGAUUUAGUUACCUAAAUUUAGGCAAUAAACACUUUGCUGAAAAACUGUGCUUUUAAGAAUGUGCUGGUUUCAGUGGCCAAGGUGGGACCUCAAAGAACAUCUGAUGGGCACCACGUCUGGAGAAGUUUCGCCACAUCACUUACUUCUGGGCAACCUCGGGCAAGUUCUUCGUCUCCUUCUGUUGUCAUCUUGCAGGGAUUGACACCCACCAAGUCCUUCAUCCUUUGAAGGCUGUGCCACACUGAACCUCACAGUCGCCUGCCACAGGGUCCAAUUCCUGGCUCUCCAAUGAUGCUUCAGAUUCCUGCUCUCCUAUGUUGUCAUCUCUCAAAGGUUAAACAUUUGAUAACCAAACAUUUCUGUGGCUCAAAUGAUUUUGUGUCUGGCCCUCUUCAUUUGGAUUGGGGAUAAUUCUCUCACUCUUUUUUCUUUCUCCUCUGAG
Long non-coding RNA from Heterocephalus glaber (naked mole-rat), 2787 nucleotides. The record is from Ensembl. Lineage: Eukaryota; Metazoa; Chordata; Mammalia; Rodentia; Bathyergidae.